Long non-coding RNA from Panicum virgatum (switchgrass), 1508 nucleotides. RefSeq lists it as uncharacterized. NCBI's taxonomy places the organism in Eukaryota, Viridiplantae, Streptophyta, Magnoliopsida, Poales, Poaceae. The record is from RefSeq and is a predicted model, not a curated record. The transcript has 2 exons.
UUAGUAUUUCCUUGAGGGCAGGAAUAUAGUUAGCAUCGUUAAGCAUGAAAUUGAAAAGGCCAGACACGAUUUUUUUUAGAACUUUUAAUUUAUUGGGCACCGUUUCCUUGAAAGCAAACAAUUAGACUCAGUCCUGGACCGUCACAGUUUAAACAGAGAUAUUAGAGACGUGUCAGUCAGUAGAUAGUAGACAGAUUUUUUUUGCUAAGAGUGUGGGUGAGCUGAAUUUUUGACACCUUGUGAUACAGAUAUGUUAUUCUGGGUAACCAUCGUGAUGCUUGGACGUCGCCGGGUCGCGCUGCCCCAGGCGGAGGGAAAGUACCGAUGUUGAGGACAUGUUUCUUGCUCAUAGAAGGAUUGCUUGGUCAAUGGUUAGCUUGCUCAGAGUCUUUGAAUCAAAUCAGUGUGCUCAUUUCCUUGCAUGUUGACUCCUUUUGUUUUUUUUAACUUAUUUUGACUUCAAUAAUUAGAUGUGUACACUAUGACUACUAUUCCAAAUACAUUCAACUCCUGAGCAGAUUAACAUGGGGUUGGCCUAAUUAUUGGAACAAGUUGUCCUUAAGUAUCUAAUAUUUUUUCCCUGUCUAGCCUAUUUUUUGUGAUAGAGUAUGUGUGAUUUACGAUUGUCAUGGAUGUAAAAAUAACCUUUAGGGCAUACCACUCGUUUCUUUGCUAGUCUUGAUUCUGUUUCGUGUUCUUUCUAAUGCUAUAUAUCUGUAACAUUUAUCUACAUUGAUAAUUGAGUGGAUCCUUUGUUUUUUGGAAAAUAAGUCUGUAGAAUAUUUACUGUUAUUAUUUACUUUUUUUUAAUUCAGUUGGCCAAUGGAAGGCCAGGUUCCUCCACGAAGCGGAGGCCCAUCGCCGGUAGGCUUGGGCCGGAGCGAGGGGUCGAUUAGUUUAUGGUGACGAUGACCUCCGGGUCUUUUAUAGAUAGAUAGAUUAAUUUGGUGACUUCAUUACUUAACUGACAAAUCAUCAGACAUAAUUACAAGAACAUCAUUCGGGAUAGAGCUUGUGAUAAGUGCCUCCCCUUGGACACACUCGUAAUCCAAAGCAGCCAAAACAUGAGCAGAACAUGAGCAGCUCUGUUUCUAGCCCUACAUGGCUGCUGCAGCGGUGCAUGAUAUUGAGAAGAAAAGGUUGGAGUCUGAAUUGUAGGUUCUCAAGGGGAAGGUUGGCCGGAUCUAGGCCGAGAAGGAUGAUUCUUUGUACACGAUCCAUGCUAAAGAUGCUGGGGUUGGAGAGUUGAGGGAUGAAUUGAAGAAGCUCCACGGUUCCAUGGCUGAUCUGCGUACUCUCUGCAGUGAUCUUGAGGGGAAGUCUUCCUCCCUGCAAGAUGAGAGGGAUUCAGUUCUGAAAGCACUCGAAAAGCAGAAAACCGAGGCAGAUGAGCUGAGGUUGACUCUUAGGGAGCUUCAUGUCUGUAAUGGUGUGUAUAUAUAUGUAGAGGUGCAUGUGUGAUUGCACUGAAUAGACAUGAGUCUGUGUAUAUACAAGUCAGUUUCUUA